CUUAAGUGCAGCCAUGAGUUUCCGUGCCCAACUUUAUCGUUUGUCUUAUUUGAAAUUUUUUUAUGAUUAGUAUUUUUAUUGUUAUUAGAUGAUAAAAUAUGAAUAAUAUUUUAUGUGUGACUAAAUAUUUUCAAUUUUUUUACAAAUUUUUCAAAUAAGACGGACGAUCAAACGUUGGGUGCGGAUAUCCACGGCUGUACUUAUU
Non-coding RNA from Oryza meridionalis, 205 nucleotides. Lineage: Eukaryota; Viridiplantae; Streptophyta; Magnoliopsida; Poales; Poaceae. The record is from Rfam.